This is a long non-coding RNA of Dermochelys coriacea (leatherback sea turtle), 365 nucleotides long. RefSeq lists it as uncharacterized. The transcript is spliced from 2 exons. The record is from RefSeq and is a predicted model, not a curated record. Lineage: Eukaryota; Metazoa; Chordata; Testudines; Dermochelyidae.
AAUUGACAUUGACUGAGACUGUUUUGCUGGUUCUAGAAAGGUUGCUGUUGUGAACCGAAUUUUGGGAAAAGAUCCAUAAGCUGGAAAUGUAACUAGUUUUGUUUAGAGAUACUAUGGGGAUGAGGGUGAUACCAGAACUUAAGUAGAACCAAAGAGAAAUCUUAUGGAAAAAAUUUAAACAUACUGCAUAUAUUUUACCUGCUGGAAAAUAAACCAAUAGGUAUGAAGGUAUUUGCAAUAUCGGUGCUUCUUGAUGCAUACUCACUUAUUUCACUGAAGACAAAUUGGUCUGUCACUUAUUUAAGUAAUUAACUUUCAGUAUAGAAAAUUAAAUUGAUUAAGAUUACAAAGUUCUCUGAACAAUA